RNAcentral lists this ribosomal RNA (468 nucleotides) under uncultured bacterium. RNAcentral's name for it is "partial 16S ribosomal RNA". It matches the Rfam family "Bacterial small subunit ribosomal RNA", at positions 28 to 507 of the family's 1533-position model. The record is from RNAcentral.
GACGAACGCUGGCGGCGUGCUUAACACAUGCAAGUCGAACGGAAAGGCCCUGCUUUUGUGGGGUGCUCGAGUGGCGAACGGGUGAGUAACACGUGAGUAACCUGCCCUUGACUUUGGGAUAACUUCAGGAAACUGGGGCUAAUACCGGAUAGGAGCUCCUGCUGCAUGGUGGGGGUUGGAAAGUUUCGGCGGUUGGGGAUGGACUCGCGGCUUAUCAGCUUGUUGGUGGGGUAGUGGCUUACCAAGGCUUUGACGGGUAGCCGGCCUGAGAGGGUGACCGGCGACAUUGGGACUGAGGUACGGCCCAGACUCCUACGGGAGGCAGCAGUCGGGAAUAUUGCACAAUGGGCGGAAGCCUGAUGCAGCAACGCCGCGUGCGGGAUGACGGCCUUCGGGUUGUAAACCGCUUUCGCCUGUGACGAAGCGUGAGUGACGGUAAUGGGUAAAGAAGCACCGGCUAACUACGUG